RNAcentral lists this long non-coding RNA (230 nucleotides) under Elaeis guineensis (African oil palm). RNAcentral describes it as "long non-coding RNA (EGUI_LNC038883)". The record is from RNAcentral. Lineage: Eukaryota; Viridiplantae; Streptophyta; Magnoliopsida; Arecales; Arecaceae.
CUGCCUCCAUCUUGGAUAAUUUUUUUUUCAAGAAGACAGCAUAAUGGCUCACAAUCGCAUUGUGAUCUUUGGGAAGAUAGAAGUAGUAUCCCAUGAUUUCUUUGGGAUAUCUUAUAAAGUGAGCCCUAAAGGACCUAGCCUCUAACUUGUCUGCCUGCUGUCGCUUGACGUUAGCUGGAUAUCUCCAAAUCUUGAGGUAUCCAAGAAAUGGCUUCUUACCAUGCCAUAAC